UGUGAUUUCCAUAAUGAAUCGCCUCUGUAUCGUUACCUUGCCGCUCUCUCUGCUAUAAGAGCUUUCUGUUUCUCUGCAGUUUGAUUCUUCUCUGAAACGUUUCUGAAACCUCUCUCAAUCUCAAGCCUCCUUCCAAUUCCUCUCGAAGUUGCAGAAACGUUUUUCAGUACGUACAGCUGUCUUCUCCAGCCUACUGCUGUUCUUAGAGAAGGAAGGGAACUAUGGGAAGUUCAGGGCAACCACAGUUCAUUGCUAGCACUGGUAACCGGAGUUUCUCAAAUGCGCCUUUGAUUGAGAACUCGGCUCUUGAUCAGAUUGUUGUCCCUGAUAUUGCGGUCGGCACGAUGGUGCACACAAAAGAGGCGGAGGAAGUCAUUUUUUCGGCAGUUUGAGUUCUCACACGUCGGGUGAACCGGAGAAGACCGAUUCGCAUGCGGGUCGAGUUCGACACGAGGUCAAGAUGUGAAGAGACGCUUGACCGGGCUGUUCUGAGCAAGAAAUUAGGAGGCCGGAGCGGAGAAAAAUUGCGGCAGAGCAUAUCACGCGACAAGAAGUUUUUUGGAAUUUUUCGGUGCGAUUUGGGGUGUUUUUGCGAGCCUCUUCUUGAUUUCAGUUGUUUGGUGGGUUUUGUGGUGAUUUUCGGCUGAAAGGAGGUAUUUUAGUGAUUUCUGGCAGCAGCGCAUACGGCAACGCGUGAGUUCUAAUGGUGGCAGUGUGUUCUUUUAAGUUUUCGUAUAUGAAGAGGUAUUCUGUUUUAUCAAAAUUUCUUGUUAUUUGUAGUAUUUCCGGAUAUCUAUGAUUGUUGUGUUUUCCGGGUAUCUCUGACGAUUGUGUUUUCGGUAUUGUGAGUGAUAUAUUUUUGUAAUUCCUGAAUUGAAAUAGAUGAUAAUAUUGUCUGUUAUUACUGAUAUUGUUCUCACACUUAUCCAUCUUAUCGAGCCAACAACAUAUAGCAACAUUCCAUCAAAGAUUUGAAAGAGUCUCUGUGGCAUAAAAGAAAUUCUUCAAUCUAAUAAGCUAUCUAUCAAAAGUAAGGGGGGUGUUCAUAGUCAAAAGCUACUAGAUUAGAUGGAUUCCAACUGAACUUCAACUUCUCAAAGUCUCUGGUUGACUUUCUCGAGGUCCAAUUUCGUUAUUCCCGCUUCUUCCG
Non-coding RNA from Carica papaya (papaya), 1150 nucleotides. Lineage: Eukaryota; Viridiplantae; Streptophyta; Magnoliopsida; Brassicales; Caricaceae. The record is from RefSeq and is a predicted model, not a curated record.